GCAAACUUGGUCAUUUAGAGGAAGUAAAAGUCGUAACAAGGUCUCCGUAGGUGAACCUGCGGAGGGAUCAUUUCUGAAUCCAGGCCGGCGUGCCCUUUGGUUGGAUGGCCGAAUGGCCUCCCUCCACAAGGGCCCCGACUUGCCUCUUUCAAACCUGUGGGCAGAGAUGUGGAUUGGCGACCCCCCAAAAGGGGCGCCACUUCAAUGCAGCCAAGCAUUUUGUGUCUGAGUUGAUAUAAUACCUUUAAAACUUUCAACAACGGAUCUCUUGGCUCUUGCAUCGAUGAAGAACGCAGC
This 297-nucleotide unclassified non-coding RNA is filed under the name uncultured fungus. Its description in RNAcentral is "partial contains small subunit ribosomal RNA, internal transcribed spacer 1, and 5.8S ribosomal RNA". The stretch from base 1 to 73 matches the Rfam family "Eukaryotic small subunit ribosomal RNA", at positions 1759 to 1831 of the family's 1831-position model. Lineage: Eukaryota; Fungi. The record is from RNAcentral.